GGUUGUUCAUUUAUUCGUCACUGGAUUUUUUUUAUCGGACUUUCUAUAUUCUUCUAUGUCUUUCUCUCGAACCAAUUUCGGUCUUACUUUGUAGUUUUGGGUUCCAUUUAAGUCUUUUUCAGUAGUUUUUCUCUACAAUGAGGAUGACUAAAAUGGCGCAGGAUGUCAUACUAGAGGCUGAUGGGUGAUGGCUGAUGCUAGGAGCCUUUAAGAAGUCAUGUGCAGGUAUAACCUUGGACACAUCAAGAGAAGUAGUUGCUACUUACUGCGGAGGAUAAGUUACAAUUUUAUCACAGUAUGAUGAGAUUGGUGGGAGCGCUUCGUGCCAAAUCAUGAUUACUAGCUACACACUUUGUUAUUGGCUUGAUUUGGUGUCUUCCAGAAAUGAACUCAGUACAGAAUCCCAAAAUGCUGCCAGAUUUGAGAUGACGCUAUGACCGUAUACAUGGAGAUUAAAAGUUCAAAAAUGGAUAUAGCCUUUCGAAAGGCAAAAGUCAUCUUUUCCCUUGAAGCUCCAUGGGUGGCUUUUGGAACUCAAUGCUAAUCCGAUUGUAGCAUACCUGUAUCUCCUGUAGACUUACAUGGCAUGGUCAAUUCAUCUUGCCAUUAAGAUUCUGUGUUUCUGAAAUUCAUCGCAAGUACUGGUGGUCAAGCAAUAAAACUCUAAAGAAAAGAGGUAGUAGUUCGUGAUAUGCGAGUGGACAUUGAAUGGAUAUUAUGUUUCUCAUGACAUUUGAAUCCAGCAGAGAACAUUGAUUUGCUGAAAUUGAAAUUUGAAGUAAAAAACAUUACUUUAAAUCCUAAUGAGGCGGACCAGCUAGAAGGGAACUGUAGUCGAGGUUUGACAUGGCAGUGAUGGCGUUUUAAAUUUUUGGUUGGGUGUAAGUAGUAGUCUCCUGAAGCUUCCUUAUAGCAUAAGCAUGGUCAGUUUAUCAUAAAUUUUGUCUUUCAGAGUGACUCUUCACCAUAGCGGAGUCCAGGUAUUUUUGUGUUCGUCAGAACUAGAAGAUACAAGUCGCAUGCAGAUGCAAUGUGAUCUUGCUUCAACUGUUUGUAAAUUCUUCAUUUUGUAUUUGGGAUUAAGCUUGGUACUGUUAAGAGAUGUACGAAAUCAGUUUGAAGGUUGUAGCUACAUUAAGUUGCAAGGAAGCUAUAUAACUGUGUUGGUCCGAAGGUUUCAUAUGCAGUAAUUAGGAAGCUGUGAAAGAAGGAAUGCUAGAUACGAUUGGCAGGCGAAACAAGAAUAUAAAUGAAGACUCAUUCAGGAAUACUCCGUUUCAAUUUAUUUUUAGUUGGGAGGAGACUGUAAUAAUGUAGUUAUUUCUGCGGUUUUCUUGACAUGCAUCGUUGAUCGUCCUCUGUAAAUAUUUUCUGUUCUUUAACAUAUAACUUUUUCUUCUCAAGCAAAAAAUAAAAAACUAC
Papaver somniferum (opium poppy) is the source of this 1422-nucleotide long non-coding RNA. RefSeq lists it as uncharacterized. The transcript has 6 exons. Lineage: Eukaryota; Viridiplantae; Streptophyta; Magnoliopsida; Ranunculales; Papaveraceae. The record is from RefSeq and is a predicted model, not a curated record.